Molecule: ribosomal RNA, 220 nt
Filed under: uncultured bacterium
Lineage: Bacteria
Description: partial 16S ribosomal RNA
Rfam family: Bacterial small subunit ribosomal RNA
Source: RNAcentral
UACGGAGGGAGCUAGCGUUGUUCGGAAUUACUGGGCGUAAAGCGCGCGUAGGCGGCUACUCAAGUCGGGGGUGAAAGCCCGGGGCUCAACCCCGGAACUGCCCUCGAAACUAGGUAGCUAGAAUCUUGGAGAGGCGAGUGGAAUUCCGAGUGUAGAGGUGAAAUUCGUAGAUAUUCGGAAGAACACCAGUGGCGAAGGCGACUCGCUGGACGAAGUAUUG